Molecule: long non-coding RNA, 212 nt
Organism: Maniola jurtina (meadow brown)
Lineage: Eukaryota; Metazoa; Arthropoda; Insecta; Lepidoptera; Nymphalidae
Exons: 3
Source: RefSeq, a predicted model, not a curated record
GGUCAUGGGAAUCACGAAAAAAUUGAAAUAAGUUUUGUACUUACCAUUAAAGAAAAACUAUUGAUUUUUCAAUGUUUAAUAACUUUUUUCUCCCAUAGAUUUUAAAUCAAACACAUAUUUAUAUAUACAGAAAGGUUACAAUAUUAUUUUUGAUUUAAAACUAUUUUGGUUUAUGUCCGCAACUUUUCGCAAAGGUGGUGAUGUUUGGGAAA